Xyrichtys novacula (pearly razorfish) is the source of this 1021-nucleotide non-coding RNA. The record is from the annotation of a GenBank genome assembly. NCBI's taxonomy places the organism in Eukaryota, Metazoa, Chordata, Actinopteri, Labriformes, Labridae.
GGAAUUUUUACUCCCCAAAAGAGCGCCCCCCAUGGCAGGAGAAAAAAGUCCAUUUUUUCUUGUCCCCUAAGGUGAAAAUACAUAUUGUUGAGAUUCACGCCUAUACGCUUUGUCAUAUUGACACAAAAUUUGACAAUCACGUGCCUUGCCUGGUAUCAUUUUUUUCAGCACAACCUCACCUGUGCGAAUUUACAGUUAUUUUAUCAUGUUGACAUACUGAAUUUACACAAUGGACCCAAAUUCACACACAAAACAUAAAAUCCGAGUGGAAAAAAGUAACAUUUUUACUGUGAAAACCACAAAUAUGUGUGAUGAACUGUUUUUAAAACUUAAACUUCAAAUAAAAAUUGUAAACUUCAAAACAUAUGCAAAUUUUUAACAAAGAACAUAGUGAUUUACCUCUAUUUACAUCAAAAUGCAGGCAAUGGCCCAGGCGUUCUUUGUAAAAUUAUUUACAAAACACUGUAUAGUCUCACAAAUGUCACUUUUUAUUUAUGCCACUACAAAAAAACAUGAUGUAAAUGAUGCAUGAUGUAAAACAUGAUGUAAAAAACUUGUGUAGAUCCUCCUGUAUGUCAGUCCAUGUGUAAUUUUUCCAUAAUUCUUUGUUUUUUGCAGCAUUUUUGUUAGUGUAACUGCAGAUUGUGCUGACAGUGUCUAUGGCACAAAAAAAAAAAAUUUAAAAUGCCUCAACAUGAACCCCUGGUGGUCUCUGAGGGUGAAACCUGCUAACUGCUGCAGCUCUGUCAGCUUCAGUCUCCCAUGCAGAGCUCUGAGCGCAUGUGUGGCUCUGCACCCUUAGCAGCGUUGCUAACUCCUCAGUAAGGAAAGCCUGCUUCAUGUCAGAGUCUCUAAACUCCAGAAGAAGUCGAUAAAAGUCCCUUUCUUUCUAAAAAAAAGUCGUUAGGGGGUCUGAAAAGUCAUUGAAUCUAACAACAAAGUCGCUAGGUUUGCAACUACGUGUCCCAGACUGCAUCCCUGCUGAGAGUCCCUCCCUCGCUUCUCAUGUUGCAGGAAGAAC